GUUUCUUCGAAGACAUCCGAUAAAAUUGGCAUGAUACAAAGAAGAUUAGCAUUGUCCCUGCACAAGGAUGACACAUACAUCGAGAAAUGGUCCAAAUUUUU
Molecule: small nuclear RNA, 101 nt
Filed under: Amborella trichopoda
Lineage: Eukaryota; Viridiplantae; Streptophyta; Magnoliopsida; Amborellales; Amborellaceae
Source: RNAcentral